UACGAAGGGGGCGAGCGUUGUUCGGAAUCACUGGGCGUAAAGCGCGUGUAGGCGGUCCGGUAAGUCCGCCGUGAAAGUCCAGGGCUCAACCCUGGAAUGCCGGUGGAAACUGUCGGGCUGGAGUCCGGAAGAGGCGAGUGGAAUUCCUGGUGUAGCGGUGAAAUGCGCAGAUAUCAGGAGGAACACCAAUGGCGAAGGCAGCUCGCUGGGACGGUACUGACGCUGAGGAGCGAAAGCGUGGGGAGCAAACGGG
Molecule: ribosomal RNA, 253 nt
Filed under: uncultured bacterium
Lineage: Bacteria
Description: partial 16S ribosomal RNA
Rfam family: Bacterial small subunit ribosomal RNA
Source: RNAcentral